Non-coding RNA from Camellia sinensis, 2559 nucleotides. NCBI's taxonomy places the organism in Eukaryota, Viridiplantae, Streptophyta, Magnoliopsida, Ericales, Theaceae. The record is from RefSeq and is a predicted model, not a curated record.
UCCAUCUUCAUCUUCCAUGAAGGACUGCAUUCUUCUUGCAGCAUGUGAAGCACAUGAAAGUCUUCCUCAACAUGCUGGUUUGCCUGCAGAUGUGUUCACUUCCUGUCUCACAACGCCAAUUAAGGUGGCAUUGAGUUGGUAUGUUCCAUCCUUGAUAUGGAAUGGUCUAUCAAAAUAAACAGAAUCUUAUGAUUCACAAUGCAAUUCACAAUAGGUGAAUCUAUUUUGGGAUAAAAUCAAUAUUGAAUCACAUGAUUAAAAAGUUGACUUGUGUUUUAUGAUCUAUAUAAUUCUUGAAACUACCAAGUCUGACAUAUUUAGACUCUUUGUUUAUCUCUUUUUUUCUUUUGGUGAAAAUGUGAGAAUACAAAAUACACUGUUAUUGGGAGCACUAUAGCAAGCAAAAAAAAUGGAUUUGGGUUUUUACCAUUGACAAAAUUCAGUAUACAUUUUGUGAAGUAUUGGAGGCCCCCCUUCUUUUUAAUGUGCAGUCAGCUGGGACUUUGUCAAUUAAUAGUGAAUUCCAUGGACACAGGACAUACUUUAUUAUACAAAUAAUGUUAUAGUUAACAACUCGGCUACAUCCACGCAAAUUAUUGUCUCCCGAGUACUCCGAAUGAUGUGGCUAGAGAAGGAUGAAGCUGAAUCCCACUUGCUCCAAAAGGUGAAAUCCCAACCUAUAAAUAUACUUGUUUGAGUUUUUUUUUUUUUUUCUUCUUUUUUUUUUUUAUGUUUUUAUGACUGUUUGAGUAUGUUUGAGUAUUUUCUGAAGCAAUGUUUACUUAGGUAUAGGUGUAAAACCAUUGUUUAAAAUAGGGUAUGUAUGAAGCUUUUCUUUGUUUAAUUUUUAAACAUUUUUCUUUCAACCUUUCUGGAACAGAGUUUGAGAAAUUGCUUUGUUAGCUUUUUUACAUACUAUAUUUUAAGCAUUUUUGGAACAAAAGUGAAAAAAGUGCUGCUUGUCUUGUAAAGAAACCACUGCUUCUUGUUUUUGUUGAUUUUCUUCUUCAUUUUCUUCUUUAUUUGCUUAUGAUUAGCUUCUCUAUUUUUUCCCACUAUACUCUAUUCUUCUCUGUUUUUUUCAGACAUGUUACCAUACAGGUGAAAUAUAGAAUAUAUCUAUCUGUGAAAGUGGUGGGAAACUUUCCUUCCACUGUAAUUUUUUUUAAUGGACAUACACAGGUGAAAUGUCCAAUUUCAUUGAUCCCUUUACUUUUUUGUAUUAACUAUUUUUGAGACAUUUGCCUAAGUUGUUUUGGCCCUCCUAUUUUAGGCAGCCCUAGCACAUGGAAUGGGCCCAAGUUGAUGUUUGCCAUGUUACUCUUUAUAUUUGUGAAAGCUUGUUUCUAUAUAAUAAAUCCAGGAAAUGCUUAUUGACUAUUUGUAGAUGGACCUUUUCCACCUUAUUAGGCUUGGUGAUCAUCAUACCAUGAUAUCUCAUCCAGUAAUUUCACUGAUCAGUACCAAAUCAUGGUUUUGUUUUUCAAGAGCAAGUUUGAAACAGAGGCAAUGUUUAGCAUGGGUUCACUUACUCUUUUGCACUGAAGUAAAGGGAAGAGCAGAAUUUUAUUGUCAAUAUCUAUAUAUUGGAGAUAUAAUUUUGAUAAGUCAGUCAGGAGUUUGUUGGACCAAUUGAUGCUUUAACAACUUUAGCAUAGGGUAUAUUGAAUACAAUUUUGAUAAAAUACAACAUCACUUAUUUCUUAUGUCAUAUAUGAGCAUGAAAAUUUUAAUUUUGGAUGAAAGUUGUAACCAAUUUUUACAUCUCAUCUUCAUGUAAAUUCAUUAUGAAGUUCUUGAGAUUCUUAAGUUUCAACAAAUUUGACCAGUGACAAAGAAAUGUGGAUUUUGGAACCUCAUUCUAUUUUGCUGGUUUAUGAGACAAUUUUUUUUUAAGAGAUGUGGACAUGUAAACAUUGAUACUUGUAAAUGAAUACUUCAGUAUCCUUUCAGGAAAGUCUAAUCAUGUUGUUUGUUUGCUAUUGCAAUUUUUCUUGACAAAGCACUGAAGGAACUGGAGGUUAGGUGACCAUGAGUUUUUGCUAGUUUGGGUGACCCUGAGUUUCUUGACAAAGUACUAUGAAUCAUUUGCCUUUCACUUCCCUUUCAAAUUCUAAUGGUAUGUUUUGCAGGCCAUUGAUUUAGGUGAACCAUACCAUGCACUUCAUUUACAAUAACAUGUUGUCUAUUUGAUUACAAUAAUUUGCAAAGUAUAAUAUAUCAGAAUUAUUAAAUUUAUAAUUGUUAUAAUUUGAAAUGUCAAUUUUAUUGAAUAAGUGCUAAUGGUUUUUUUUUUUUUUAACUGAUUGCUUUUGCAUGGGCUAUUGUGGAUAUUUAUUUUUGUGUAGGAAGAGCAUUUGUUUUGUAUAUGAAAGUCAUUUAUUUUUGUACAAUUCUUUGUUUUGGAAAUCCAUUGUUUUUGUAUGUAAUAUUUAAUUUAGAUAGAUUAUACUUGGUUGGUGUUGAUGUAGAUUUAUAUGAUAAUGAAAUGAGUAAUAUUAUUUGUAAUGGAUUUAGAUGAUAAUUGAUAGAUAUAUUAUUUUGUAUAUUUACAGGUUA